AUACGUAGGGGGCGAGCGUUAUCCGGAAUUAUUGGGCGUAAAGAGUACGUAGGUGGUUUUGUAAGCGCAAGGUGAAAGACCGCAGCUUAACUGCGGUGAGCCUUGUGAACUGCAAGACUUGAGUGCAGGAGGGGAAAGUGGAAUUCCUAGUGUAGCGGUGAAAUGCGUAGAUAUUAGGAGGAACACCGGUGGCGAAGGCGACUUUCUGGACUGUAACUGACACUGAGGUACGAAAGUGUGGGGAGCAAACAGGAUUAGAUACCCUGGUAGUCCACACCGUAAACGAUGAGCACUAGGUGUUGGCGUAGAAAUACGUCGGUGCCGAAGUUAACGCAUUAAGUGCUCCGCCUGGGGAGUACGCACGCAAGUGUGAAACUCAAAGGAAUUGACGGGG
RNAcentral lists this ribosomal RNA (394 nucleotides) under uncultured bacterium. Its description in RNAcentral is "partial 16S ribosomal RNA". It matches the Rfam family "Bacterial small subunit ribosomal RNA", at positions 523 to 918 of the family's 1533-position model. The record is from RNAcentral.